GAUGAACGCUAGCUACAGGCUUAACACAUGCAAGUCGAGGGACCGGCGCACGGGUGAGUAACACGUAUACAACCUGCCCUUUACUCGGGGAUAGCAUUUCGAAAGAAAGAUUAAUACCCGAUGAUAAGGAUGGGGAUGCGUUCCAUUAGGUGGGUGGGGAGGUAACGGCUAACCAAGCCUUCGAUGGAUAGGGGUUCUGAGAGGAAGGUCCCCACCAUUGGAACUGAGACACGGUCCAAACUCAUACGGGAGGCAGCAGUGAGGAAGAUUGGUCAAUGGGCUUUAGACUGAACCAGCCAAGUAGCGUGAAGGAUGAAGGCUUAUGGGUCGUAAACUUCUUUUAUAUAAGAAUAUGUAUUAUAUGAAUAAGGAUCGGCUAACGACGUGCCAGCAGCCGCGGUAAUUC
This 406-nucleotide ribosomal RNA is filed under the name uncultured bacterium. RNAcentral describes it as "partial 16S ribosomal RNA". It matches the Rfam family "Bacterial small subunit ribosomal RNA", at positions 28 to 526 of the family's 1533-position model. The record is from RNAcentral.